Molecule: transfer RNA, 72 nt
Filed under: Schistosoma mansoni
Lineage: Eukaryota; Metazoa; Platyhelminthes; Trematoda; Strigeidida; Schistosomatidae
Source: RNAcentral
AGUUACCUUAACAUUGACCCCGUAAACUGGUUGUGUUCAGACUUGAUUACUCUUCACCAUUUUCAAUAUGAA